RNAcentral lists this ribosomal RNA (300 nucleotides) under uncultured Methanocaldococcus sp. RNAcentral's name for it is "bacterial SSU rRNA". It matches the Rfam family "Bacterial small subunit ribosomal RNA", at positions 496 to 795 of the family's 1533-position model. Lineage: Archaea; Methanobacteriati; Methanobacteriota; Methanococci; Methanococcales; Methanocaldococcaceae. The record is from RNAcentral.
GCCAAGAGCGGGCCAUCGGGUGGGGGAAGACGUAGGAUGCGAGGGUUGUGCGGAAUUAGUGGGCGUAAAGGGCUCGGGGGCGGUUUGUCACGGCGGGAGGGAAAACGCGGGGCUCAACCCCGGGCCUGCUUCCGAUACGGGCAGACUAGAGGUAUGCAGGGGAGAACGGAAUUCCUGGUGUAGCGGUGAAAUGCGCAGAUAUCAGGAGGAACACCGGUGGCGAAGGCGGUUCUCUGGGCAUUACCUGACGCUGAGGAGCGAAAGUGUGGGGAGCGAACAGGAUUAGAUACCCUAGUAGUC